This 460-nucleotide ribosomal RNA is filed under the name uncultured microorganism. RNAcentral's name for it is "bacterial SSU rRNA". It matches the Rfam family "Bacterial small subunit ribosomal RNA", at positions 9 to 454 of the family's 1533-position model. The record is from RNAcentral.
GAGUUUGAUCAUGGCUCAGGAUGAACGCUGGCGGCGUGCCUAACACAUGCAAGUCGAACGAAGCAAUCGGGAUGAAGUUUUCGGAUGGAUUCCUGGUUGACUGAGUGGCGGACGGGUGAGUAACGCGUGGGAUAACCUGCCUCACACUGGGGGAUAACAGUUAGAAAUGGCUGCUAAUACCGCAUAAGCGCACAGUACCGCAUGGUACGGUGUGAAAAACCCAGGUGGUGUGAGAUGGAUCCGCGUCUGAUUAGCCAGUUGGCGGGUAACGGCCCACCAAAGCGACGAUCAGUAGCCGACCUGAGAGGUGACCGGCCACAUUGGGACUGAGACACGGCCCAAAUCCUACGGGAGGCAGCAGUGGGGAAUAUUGCACAAUGGGCGAAAGCCUGAUGCAGCGACGCGCGUGAGUGAAGAAGUAUCUCGGUAUGUAAAGCUCUAUCAGCAGGGAAGAAAAUGA